CUCCCUCUGACAUUAUCAUGGAUGCUGAAACCUCAGACUCUGAGGACUAUAUUAUGAGAGCAGAUUCAAAAGCAAAUCACUAACAUCUAAGCCAACACUCUUGAUCCUCCAACCCAAGCUGGAUUUACAUGGGAUUUUCUUUUUCUAUUUGUCCUCAGUCAAUAGGAAAAAGAUAUUUUGUUGCUAAAAGAUUGGAAAGAGAAAGAAUUGAGACAACAGUUCUGUAAUUAAUCGACUUUGGCAAAGCCUGGUUGGAAAUGACCGUCUGGCAGGGUCACAUGGGCCAAAUGAUUUAAGCCACUUAGGAGCAAUUGAACAUUUCUUCACAUUUGUGCUUGCUUUGUGAGCAGGAGCUAGCAUGACUCAUGAUUACGUGCAAUCACAAAAGACCACGUAAUAUAUGAUUUCACAUAUAUGAAAAGUCCAGAACACACAAAUCUAUAAAGUAGCUUAGUGGUUACCUAGAACUUCAUGGGGAGAAGAGGUGAGAGGAAUGAAGGGUGACUGCUGAAGAAUAUAGGUUGCCUCUGGGAGUGAUGAAAUGCUCAAAAUAUGAUUGUAGUGAUAGUUGCACACUGGUGAAUAAACUAAAAAAUAUGUGUGCACACUUUGCCAGGCACAGUGGCUCAUACCUGUAAUCCCAAUGGCUUGGGAGGCUGAAGCAAGAGGAUCUCAAAUUCAAAGCCAGCCUCAGCAACUUAGCAAGGCUCUUAGCAACUCAAUGAGACCCUGUCUCUAAAUAAAAA
Molecule: long non-coding RNA, 746 nt
Filed under: Marmota monax (woodchuck)
Lineage: Eukaryota; Metazoa; Chordata; Mammalia; Rodentia; Sciuridae
Source: RNAcentral